RNAcentral lists this ribosomal RNA (490 nucleotides) under uncultured bacterium. RNAcentral's name for it is "bacterial SSU rRNA". It matches the Rfam family "Bacterial small subunit ribosomal RNA", at positions 8 to 518 of the family's 1533-position model. The record is from RNAcentral.
AGAGUUUGAUUAUGGCUCAGAUUGAACGCUGGCGGCAUGCCUUACACAUGCAAGUCGAACGGCAGCGCGGGGCAACCUGGCGGCGAGUGGCGAACGGGUGAGUAAUAUAUCGGAACGUACCCUGGAGUGGGGGAUAACGUAGCGAAAGUUACGCUAAUACCGCAUACGAUCUAAGGAUGAAAGUGGGGGAUCGCAAGACCUCAUGCUCCUGGAGCGGCCGAUAUCUGAUUAGCUAGUUGGUGGGGUAAAGGCCUACCAAGGCAUCGAUCAGUAGCUGGUCUGAGAGGACGACCAGCCACAAUGGGACUGAGACACGGCCCAUACUCCUACGGGAGGCAGCAGUAGGGAAUUUUGCGCAAUGGGGGAAACCCUGACGCAGCAACACCGCGUGAAUGUUAAGCCCUUCGGGGGUGUAAAGUUCUGUCAGUAGGGAAGAACAAAUGACUGUACCUACAAAGGAAGCACCGGCUAACUCCGUGCCAGCCGCAGC